GCCACCUUAGCUCAGUUGGUAGAGCAGUCCCUUCGUAAGGGAAAGAUCCUCGGUUCGACCCCGAGAGGUGGCU
This 73-nucleotide transfer RNA is filed under the name Candidatus Woesebacteria bacterium GW2011_GWF1_31_35. RNAcentral's name for it is "tRNA-Thr". It matches the Rfam family "tRNA". From Rfam's summary of the family: Transfer RNA (tRNA) molecules are approximately 80 nucleotides in length. Their secondary structure includes four short double-helical elements and three loops (D, anti-codon, and T loops). RNAcentral also lists the same sequence under 2 other names. The record is from RNAcentral. Lineage: Bacteria; Candidatus Woeseibacteriota.